AGGCGCGUAGCUCAGUUGGUUAGAGCGCUACCUUGACACGGUAGAGGUCGCUGGUUCGAAUCCAGUCGUGCCUACCA
Molecule: transfer RNA, 77 nt
Filed under: Acidipila sp. EB88
Lineage: Bacteria; Pseudomonadati; Acidobacteriota; Terriglobia; Terriglobales; Acidobacteriaceae
Description: tRNA-Val
Rfam family: tRNA
About the family: Transfer RNA (tRNA) molecules are approximately 80 nucleotides in length. Their secondary structure includes four short double-helical elements and three loops (D, anti-codon, and T loops).
Source: RNAcentral